Molecule: ribosomal RNA, 201 nt
Filed under: uncultured bacterium
Lineage: Bacteria
Description: partial 16S ribosomal RNA
Rfam family: Bacterial small subunit ribosomal RNA
Source: RNAcentral
CCCUAGUUCGGAUUGUAGGCUGAAACUCGCCUACAUGAAGCUGGAAUUGCUAGUAAUCACAGGUCAGCAUACUGUGGUGAAUACGUUCCCGGGCCUUGUACACACCGCCCGUCACACCAUGAGAGUUGAGAAUACCCGAAGCCCAUGUCAAAGUGGUCGAAGGUAGGCUUGAUGAUUGGGGUGAAGUCGUAACAAGGUAUC